This 459-nucleotide ribosomal RNA is filed under the name uncultured bacterium. RNAcentral describes it as "partial 16S ribosomal RNA". It matches the Rfam family "Bacterial small subunit ribosomal RNA", at positions 339 to 795 of the family's 1533-position model. The record is from RNAcentral.
CUACGGGAGGCACCAGUAAGGAAUAUUGGUCAAUGGACGCAAGUCUGAACCAGCCAUGCCGCGUGAAGGAUGAAGGUCCUCUGGAUUGUAAACUUCUUUUAUAGGGGGCGAAAAAAGGGAAAUCUUUCUCACUUGACAGUACCCUAUGAAUAAGCACCGGCUAACUCCGUGCCAGCAGCCGCGGUAAUACGGAGGGUGCAAGCGUUAUCCGGAUUCACUGGGUUUAAAGUGUGCGUAGGCGGGCGUAUAAGUCAGUGGUGAAAUCCUGGAGCUUAACUCCAGAACUGCCAUUGAUACUAUAUGUCUUGAAUAUGGUGGAGGUAAGCGGAAUAUGUCAUGUAGCGGUGAAAUGCAUAGAUAUGACAUAGAACACCUAUUGCGAAGGCAGCUUACUACGCCUAUAUUGACGCUGAGGCACGAAAGCGUGGGGAUCAAACAGGAUUAGAUACCCUCGUAGUC